Molecule: ribosomal RNA, 274 nt
Filed under: Stephanospora caroticolor
Lineage: Eukaryota; Fungi; Basidiomycota; Agaricomycetes; Agaricales; Stephanosporaceae
Description: partial large subunit ribosomal RNA
Rfam family: Bacterial large subunit ribosomal RNA
Source: RNAcentral
UGAUCAUUAUCAUAGUAUUCUGGAUGAAAUUUGCCCAAUGCCAUUAACAUAAGAGAGGUAAUGGGUAACUGUUACUGAUCGAAAGUCUGGUUAAUAGCGGUCUUAACUAUGAGGAUCCAAAGGUAGCAAAAUAAAUUGGCCAUUAAAUGUGGUCUUGUAUCAAUAAUGUAACGAUGGUCUCACUGUCUCUACAACUUGCUCAGUGAAAUUGAAUUACCCGUGCAGAUGCGGGUUACCUCCAGGGGGACGGGAAGACCCUAUGCAGCUUCUACUG